AACGAACGCUGGCGGCAUGCCUAACACAUGCAAGUCGAACGAAUGGUUUCGGCCAUUAGUGGCGCACGGGUGAGUAACGCGUGGGAAUCUGCCCAGCAGUGGGGGAUAACCUCUGGAAACGGAGGCUAAUACCGCAUACGCCCCUCGGGGGAAAGGCUUGCUGCUGCUGGAGGAGCCCGCGUCGGAUUAGCUAGUUGGUGGGGUAAUGGCCUACCAAGGCAACGAUCCAUAGCUGGUCUGAGAGGAUGAUCAGCCACACUGGGACUGAGACACGGCCCAGACUCCUACGGGAGGCAGCAGUGGGGAAUAUUGGACAAUGGGCGAAAGCCUGAUCCAGCCAUGCCGCGUGAGUGAUGAAGGCCCUAGGGUUGUAAAGCUCUUUCACCGGUGAAGAUAAUGACGGUAACCGGAGAAGAAGCCCCGGCUAACUUCGUG
Molecule: ribosomal RNA, 435 nt
Filed under: uncultured bacterium
Lineage: Bacteria
Description: bacterial SSU rRNA
Rfam family: Bacterial small subunit ribosomal RNA
Source: RNAcentral